GAUGAAGAACGCAGCGAUAUGCGAUAACUAAUGUGAAUUGCAGAAUUCCGUGAAUCAUCGAGUCUUUGAACGCACAUUGCGCCCCCUGGUAUUCCGGGGGGCAUGCCUGUCCGAGCGUCAUUGCUGCCCUCAAGCACGGCUUGUGUGUUGGGCCUCCGCCCCCCGGCUCCCGGGGGGCGGGCCCGAAAGGCAGCGGCGGCACCGCGUCCGGUCCUCGAGCGUAUGGGGCUUCGUCACCCGCUCCGUAGGCCCGGCCGGCGCCCGCCGGCGACCCCCCUCAAUCUUUCCAGGUUGACCUCGGAUCAGGUAGGGAUACCCGCUGAACUUAAGCAUAUCAAUAAGCGGAGGA
Molecule: unclassified non-coding RNA, 349 nt
Filed under: soil metagenome
Description: partial contains 5.8S ribosomal RNA, internal transcribed spacer 2, and large subunit ribosomal RNA
Rfam family: 5.8S ribosomal RNA (bases 1-120)
Source: RNAcentral